GACGAACGCUGGCGGCGUGCUUAACACAUGCAAGUCGAGCGGUAAGGCCCUUUCGGGGGUACACGAGCGGCGAACGGGUGAGUAACACGUGGGUGACCUGCCCUCAGCUCUGGGAUAAGCCUGGGAAACCGGGUCUAAUACUGGAUAUCGACUCCAUGACGCAUGUUGUGGGGUGGAAAGCCUUGUGCGGCUGAGGAUGGGCCCGCGGCCUAUCAGCUUGUUGGUAGGGUAACGGCCUACCAAGGCUCCGACGGUAGCUGGUCUGAGAGGACGAUCAGCCACACUGGCACUGCGACACGGGCCAGACUCCUACGGGAGGCAGCAGUGAGGAAUAUUGCGCAAUGGGCGAAAAGCCCUGACGCAGCGACGCCGCGGUGGGGAUGAAGGUCUUCGGAUUCGUAAACCCCGUUUCGGGAGGGAAGA
RNAcentral lists this ribosomal RNA (423 nucleotides) under uncultured bacterium. Its description in RNAcentral is "bacterial SSU rRNA". It matches the Rfam family "Bacterial small subunit ribosomal RNA", at positions 28 to 448 of the family's 1533-position model. The record is from RNAcentral.